UCCUUCACAGAGCGGAAUUUGACUGAGGAUGAGUUGCGGUGCUGAACUGUCUCACAGACUGUCGGAGGACAGCCCACGUUCCGAGUGAAGCAGCAUUUGUGACCGUUGGCAUUUGUGUGUGUAUGUGGGCAGCAUAAAAGGAGAGAGAGAAGCGGAGGCGAUCAAGAGACACCACCAGAAGAGAGG
Long non-coding RNA from Carcharodon carcharias (great white shark), 186 nucleotides. RefSeq lists it as uncharacterized. The record is from RefSeq and is a predicted model, not a curated record. The transcript has 3 exons. Lineage: Eukaryota; Metazoa; Chordata; Chondrichthyes; Lamniformes; Lamnidae.